Molecule: ribosomal RNA, 490 nt
Filed under: uncultured bacterium
Lineage: Bacteria
Description: partial 16S ribosomal RNA
Rfam family: Bacterial small subunit ribosomal RNA
Source: RNAcentral
GAUGAACGCUAGCGAUAGGCUUAACACAUGCAAGUCGAGGGGCAGCAUGGUCUUAGCUUGCUAAGGCUGAUGACGACCGGCGCACGGGUGCGUAACGCGUAUGCAACUUGCCUCACAGAGGGGGAUAACCCGUCGAAAGACGGACUAAUACCGCGUACACUCUAUGUUGGGCAUCCAAUGUAGAGGAAAUGAAAUUCGCUGUGAGAUAGGCAUGCGUCCCAUUAGCUAGUUGGUGAGGUAACGGCUCACCAAGGCGACGAUGGGUAGGGGAACUGAGAGGUUGAACCCCCACACUGGUACUGAGACACGGACCAGACUCCUACGGGAGGCAGCAGUGAGGAAUAUUGGUCAAUGGGCGAGAGCCUGAACCAGCCAAGUCGCGUGAAGGAUGACCGUCUUAUGGAUUGUAAACUUCUUUUAGACGGGAAUAACAAGAGUCACGUGUGGCUCCCUGCAUGUACCGUAUGAAUAAGCAUCGGCUAACUCCGUG